UAGGGAAUCUUCGGCAAUGGACGGAAGUCUGACCGAGCAACGCCGCGUGAGUGAAGAAGGUUUUCUGAUCGUAAAGCUCUGUUGUUAGAGAAGAACGUUGGUAGGAGUGGAAAAUCUACCAAGUGACGGUAACUAACCAGAAAGGGACGGCUAACUACGUGCCAGCAGCCGCGGUAAUACGUAGGUCCCGAGCGUUGUCCGGAUUUAUUGGGCGUAAAGCGAGCGCAGGCGGUUCUUUAAGUCUGAAGUUAAAGGCAGUGGCUUAACCAUUGUACGCUUUGGAAACUGGAGGACUUGAGUGCAGAAGGGGGGAGUGGAAUUCCAUGUGUAGCGGUGAAAUGCGUAGAUAUAUGGAGGAACACCGGUGGCGAAAGCGGCUCUCUGGUCUGUAACUGACGCUGAGGCUCGAAAGCGUGGGGAGCAAACAGG
This 429-nucleotide ribosomal RNA is filed under the name Bacillota bacterium. RNAcentral describes it as "Firmicutes bacterium partial 16S ribosomal RNA". It matches the Rfam family "Bacterial small subunit ribosomal RNA", at positions 355 to 776 of the family's 1533-position model. Lineage: Bacteria; Bacillati; Bacillota. The record is from RNAcentral.